RNAcentral lists this long non-coding RNA (756 nucleotides) under Helianthus annuus (common sunflower). RNAcentral's name for it is "sRNA HanXRQr2_Chr04g0152971". The record is from RNAcentral. Lineage: Eukaryota; Viridiplantae; Streptophyta; Magnoliopsida; Asterales; Asteraceae.
AGGCGGCCUGUCUUUACACCGCUUGCCGUCAAGAAGACAAGCCACGCACUGUAAAGGGUACUAAAGACAUUAAUAGGUGAUGAAGUGAUAUCUUGUGCGGGGAUUCAACGAGAAUUUGGGGCUGUGAGUAGGCCUGGAUCGAGAUUGGGGAGGGAAAACGAAACGAAAAACCCUAAUCGAUUGCUGAUUGUUUCUCCCCACGGUAACUCUGCGUCGUUGCUGAUGGUUCUUGCUUUUCCGUCUAUGCCACCUCACUCCUGGUAUUCUUCAUCCAGGUCUUUAUAUUUAAAGAUUCAUUGUCAUUUGAAGUGGUAUUCUCAAUCCAUGUCUUUAUUAUAUGGGGCCUUUAAUUCAUUUUUCUGCAAUUUUGGGGAAAUUUCAACUCUUUCAUUUUGAUUUCAUCAUUUCUUGUUGGAGAACUAUGAAUUUCGUGAUUUCAUUGCUCAAUUCAUUUUAAAUAUAGCAUUAUUCCCAAUUUCAAGUAGGUUUUUGAUCUGUUUUUGUGUUCCCUCUAAGUCUAAAGAUACACAGGCACUUAGACUCCUUGAUGAUCAAAGGGACAGCUGUAGAUGAACUCAUGAACGUGGUCUAUAUGCUCUUUGAUGGAUUGGAACCUGGAACAUCAACUGUUUCAGUUGUCACAAGAAGAAUAUUAUGACCAUUGGAGCUCAAGACAGCUUGCUGCAGCUGCCAAACUUAUCGAAGCAAGGCAUACUAAGAAUCAGAGGACGAGAAGAAAGGAGAAAGAGGCGCAGG